CCUACGGGAGGCAGCAGUGGGGAAUAUUGGACAAUGGGGGGAACCCUGAUCCAGCGACGCCGCGUGAGUGAAGAAGUAUUUCGGUAUGUAAAGCUCUAUCAGCAGGGAAGAAAAUGACGGUAACUGACUAAGAAGCCCCGGCUAACUACGUGCCAGCAGCCGCGGUAAUACGUAGGGGGCGAGCGUUAUCCGGAUUUAUUGGGUGUAAAGGGGGCGUAUGCGGUCCGUUAAGUCAGCGGUAAAAUUGCGGGGCUCAACCCCGUCGAGCCGUUGAAACUGGCAGACUUGAGUUGGCGAGAAGUACGCGGAAUGCGCGGUGUAGCGGUGAAAUGCAUAGAUAGCGCGCAGAACUCCGAUUGCGAAGGCAGCGUACCGGCGCCAGACUGACGCUGAGGCACGAAAGCGUGGGGAUCGAACAGGAUUAGAUACCCUGGUAGUC
This 439-nucleotide ribosomal RNA is filed under the name uncultured bacterium. Its description in RNAcentral is "partial 16S ribosomal RNA". It matches the Rfam family "Bacterial small subunit ribosomal RNA", at positions 338 to 795 of the family's 1533-position model. The record is from RNAcentral.